This 274-nucleotide RNase MRP RNA is filed under the name Chloropicon mariensis. RNAcentral describes it as "RNase MRP". It matches the Rfam family "RNase MRP". From Rfam's summary of the family: RNase MRP is an enzymatically active ribonucleoprotein with two distinct roles in eukaryotes. In mitochondria it plays a direct role in the initiation of mitochondrial DNA replication. Lineage: Eukaryota; Viridiplantae; Chlorophyta; Chloropicophyceae; Chloropicales; Chloropicaceae. The record is from RNAcentral.
GUUCAAAGGGCCACUAUCGGUGAUCAUACGAACAGACUUUGUUUCUGUUUUUUUCAACGUACAUACCACUGGGCGAAAGUCCCCGGGCUCUGAGGCAGAGAGUGCCAACCUUAACCAGGUCGGACCUCCGCGACGGCACUUGCACUGUCACUUGUGACGUGUGCUUGUUGCCCGCGGGGUAGAUAGCCAAAGUUACAGUUAUGUGGCCAGUUAGCCGAUUUUCUUUCCUGUAAAGAGAAGACGCUUUCCAACUCAACGGGGCUUACUCUUGGGC